Molecule: long non-coding RNA, 272 nt
Filed under: Elaeis guineensis (African oil palm)
Lineage: Eukaryota; Viridiplantae; Streptophyta; Magnoliopsida; Arecales; Arecaceae
Description: long non-coding RNA (EGUI_LNC046339)
Source: RNAcentral
ACCACCAUUAGAAAGAUACAUAUAAAUCAUCAUAUUAUAAAUGAUAAUUUUGAUAGCCAGAUGAGCACCAGGCGUAUGGCACCUCCAAUGAUCAUCUAAACUAUUGGACCCAUUAUCAUCUAACUUAAUAGGAGUCUAUGACUUUGUUAUCUCCAUAACAUUGUUAUUUUAAGGACCUAAUAAUUUUUAAAGAUUUAGUUACAUGUUUUAGAAAAAUUUUGAUCUACAAGUCAUAAAUCCUCCCACUAACUUCAUCAAGUUAUGAAAAGGAC